AUUGAACGCUGGCGGAAUGCUUUACACAUGCAAGUCGAACGGCAGCACGGGGCAACCUGGUGGCGAGUGGCGAACGGGUGAGUAAUACAUCGGAACGUGCCCAAUCGUGGGGGAUAACGUAGCGAAAGUUACGCUAAUACCGCAUACGAUCUACGGAUGAAAGCGGGGGAUCGCAAGACCUCGCGCGAGUGGAGCGGCCGAUGUCAGAUUAGGUAGUUGGUGGGGUAAAGGCUCACCAAGCCAACGAUCUGUAGCUGGUCUGAGAGGACGACCAGCCACACUGGAACUGAGACACGGUCCAGACUCCUACGGGAGGCAGCAGUGGGGAAUUUUGGACAAUGGGCGCAAGCCUGAUCCAGCCAUUCCGCGUGCAGGAUGAAGGCCUUCGGUUGUAAACUGCUUUGUACGAACGAAAGACUCUGGUUAAUACUGGGUCCAUGACGGUACCGUAAGAAUAAGACACCGGCUAACUACGUAGCCAGCAGCCGCGGUAAGAGU
RNAcentral lists this ribosomal RNA (498 nucleotides) under uncultured bacterium. RNAcentral describes it as "bacterial SSU rRNA". It matches the Rfam family "Bacterial small subunit ribosomal RNA", at positions 30 to 528 of the family's 1533-position model. The record is from RNAcentral.